Molecule: long non-coding RNA, 1041 nt
Filed under: Monodelphis domestica (gray short-tailed opossum)
Lineage: Eukaryota; Metazoa; Chordata; Mammalia; Didelphimorphia; Didelphidae
Description: lncRNA (ENSMODG00000040741.1)
Source: RNAcentral
UAGCCACAUGGUCCAUUAAUUCCAUUUUUCUCCACAUAUGCACCCCCAAAAUUUGGGGGAGUAGCAGGCUGCUGAGAGUACCUACAAGAGUGGGCCAUAUAGAUUGAAGGAUGAGCUGGAUAAGAAAAGUGAAGUCAACAUUUCUGGAGUGGAGACCAAAGGAAUAAUAGUAAGAACCCCUACUCUCCUGUUCAACAGGUAAACUCUACCUUACCCACAUGCAUACAGAUCCUAGUAGAAACAUUAUGCUCUGAAGAGGAAUACUAUUGAACCAAUCGGUUAAGGUGACAGAGAUUAGAGAUGGAUAUCAACCCCUGAAUGUCUAAAGGUCGGGGGAGAGAGCCAGAGUCGAUGCCAGGAUUUGCCAGAAGUCAGAUAAUAAGGAACAAAGUCCUGAGCCAUCUGGUCACUGUGACACUCGGGAUGUCUCUCCGGAGCUUUGCAAACCUUCUAGCGUUCGCUAAAUAGGAACUAUUAGCACCGUCCUUGGUGAAACAGAAGCGGACCCGAGAGGAAUCGGCUCGUCCACACACUGCGGCUCCAUCGCCUCCCGGCUAGUGGAGCUAAACGCAGGCUGAGGACAAAUCCGCGAAGACACCAGACGUGCCGCGGAACUUCUCGCUGCCGCUCCCGUCGUGCCCAGGCUCCGAAGACUAUUUCUAGGGGCGGUUUGUUUGUGUGUCCGCUUUGCCCUGCUGGGUUUGAUCAGGUGACCCGGGAAGAAUUCGCAGCUGGCCCCGACCCUAGAAAGUAGGGGGUUUCACGCUCGGGCUUGUUUUGGUGACUUGGGAGGGAAGCGGGAGGAAGGGAGGCGGAGCUAUUCUAAGGGGGCAAGCUGCGCCGGGAAAUAGUUGAGAUACGGGGGGUGAAGGAGGCUGUGGAAGAGAGUGGGAAGAGAUCUCUGCGCCACAUGUUAGAAGUCCCAGGUCUUGGACCACGGACAGUCACUUGCUCUCUGGAUGACCCUGGAUAAAUCAUUUCCUUCCCUGGGGUUCAUUUUCUUAUAAUAAAAGGAGGGAGGUGGGGGUAGUUGGGUGGCUC